UCCGGUUGAUCCUGCCAGAUCCGACUGCUAUCCGGGUAAGACUAAGCCAUGCAAGUCGAAUGGAACAGCUAGUUCCAUGGCGAACUGCUCAGUAACAAGUGAUCAACUUACCCUUCAGUGGAGCAUAACCUCGGGAAACUGAGGCUAAUUCUUCAUAGUUGGAACUGCCUGGAAGGGCUUUCCAUCGAAAGAUAUUCCCAAUUGCGGGAUGUUCGCUGAAGGAUAGGAUCGCUUUCGAUUAUGGUAGUUGGUGAGGUAAUGGCUCACCAAGCCUAUGAUCGAUAAGGGCCGUGAGAGCGGUAGCCCUGAGAUGGAUACUGAGACAAUGAUCCAGGCCUUACGAGGCGCAGCAGGCGCGAAACCUUUACAAUGCACGUCAGUGUGAUAAGGUUACCCGGAGUGCUAAGAGAACAACUUUUAGCUGUUAUAGGUGUGUAAAUAACCCUAUGAGAAAGGAGAGGGCAAGGCUGGUGCCAGCCGCCGCGGUAAAACCAGCUCUUCAAGUGGUCGGGAAUUUUAUUGGGCUUAAAGUGUCCGUAGCCGGUUUGAACAGUUCCUGGUUAAAUCUGGUAGCUUAACUAUCAGUCAGCUAGGAAUACUAUCUUACUAGAGGGUGGGAAAGGCUUGGGGUACUCCGGGGGUAGCGGUGAAAUGCGAUAAUCCUCGGGGGACCACCAGUGGCGAAGGCGCCAAGCUGGAACACGCCUGACGGUGAGGGACGAAAGCCAGGGGAGCGAACGGGAUUAGAUACCCCGGUAGUCCUGGCCGUAAACGAUGCGUGCUAGGUGUUGGAAGGGCUAUGAGCCGUUUCAGUGCCGUAGGGAAACUGUUAAGCGCGCCGCCUGGGAAGUACGCUCGCAAGAGUGAAACUUAAAGGAAUUGGCGGGGGAGCAC
This 894-nucleotide ribosomal RNA is filed under the name uncultured archaeon. RNAcentral describes it as "bacterial SSU rRNA". It matches the Rfam family "Archaeal small subunit ribosomal RNA", at positions 1 to 879 of the family's 1478-position model. The record is from RNAcentral.